Molecule: ribosomal RNA, 253 nt
Filed under: uncultured bacterium
Lineage: Bacteria
Description: partial 16S ribosomal RNA
Rfam family: Bacterial small subunit ribosomal RNA
Source: RNAcentral
UACAGAGGUCCCGAGCGUUGUUCGGAUUCACUGGGCGUAAAGGGUGCGUAGGUGGCUUGAAAAGUUUGAUGUGAAAGCUCAGGGCUUAACCCUGAAAUGGCAUUGAAUACUGUCGAGCUGGAGGUUUGUAGGGGGGACUGGAAUUCUUGGUGUAGCAGUGAAAUGCGUAGAUAUCAAGAGGAACACCAGUGGCGAAGGCGGGUCUCUGGGCCGAUACUGACGCUGAGGAGCGAAAGCGUGGGGAGCGAACAGG